CCCUCUUUAGCUCAGUUGGAAGAGCGCGAGACUGUAAUGCAUCUUGAGGUCUCUGGUUCGAUCCCGGAAGGAGGGA
This is a non-coding RNA of Pichia kudriavzevii, 76 nucleotides long. Lineage: Eukaryota; Fungi; Ascomycota; Pichiomycetes; Pichiales; Pichiaceae. The record is from the annotation of a RefSeq genome assembly.